This is a long non-coding RNA of Myzus persicae (green peach aphid), 946 nucleotides long. RefSeq lists it as uncharacterized. The record is from RefSeq and is a predicted model, not a curated record. NCBI's taxonomy places the organism in Eukaryota, Metazoa, Arthropoda, Insecta, Hemiptera, Aphididae. The transcript has 5 exons.
CAAGUUUAGGGCAUGCUAUUUUUCGUUGUACUCAUGGCUAAAUAAAAUAUAGGUUGUAAUUGCUACAAAAUAACAACAAAGUUAUCAGUAACACGAUAAGAAAAAAACGUUACCGAUGAAAAGCGGUUCGUAAUAAAUGAUAACCUACUUGAAUAAUGGUUGUAGGUUGUUCGUCACGAAUUUGUGAUCGUGCUGGUAAGUGCCAUAAUACCAUUGAUUAAUGCUUAUUGUUUUAUUGAUGUUUCCUUUCUGACAACUCCUCACACAUAACGAUAUUUAACUUAAAGACGAAAUCGACGAACUCAAGUGUAGGUAUUCUUUAAAAACAAAUGUCUUCUUUUUUAAAUAAUAGUGGAAUUGUUUCAGCUAAAUACCUCAAUUGAUUACAAUUUAGAAGCUUUUAGUCGCUAGCUAUAUGAAAAUUACAUUUUGCUUUGUGAAAUGUCGAAAUUGGCCUUGCUAAAAGCUCACAGGACCGAGAUAAAACUGAAAUGACUCCCCUGGACAUAAUUAUUAAUUAAUGCAUUAUGACUAUUUUGAUCUGGAUGCCAAAUGCCGAUAAUUUUUGUUCAAACAGCCUAAAUCAAAACCAAGUAACUUUGGUUUAUUAUCAUGCAUUUCCAUGUUGUUCUGGCUUCUGGAUUAAACAAGUAGCUUUUACCGAUUUGUAUUGAUGAUAGUUAACGUAUAUCCGAAAAUAUUUAUAUGGUCCAAUUCAAGAUGCUGAGAAAACAUUUAGAAAGAAAAAACAGUCAACUUCUCACAAUCACUCACAAAUUAAGAACACAUAGGUACUUCAUUCGUAUAUCUCCAACUAUGAUUAGAUAGUUGAAGUUGUGGGUGCUCCAGAAAUUCAGGUUGUAGAAGAAUUAAUACAAAGUAAAAAAUUAGAAUAAACAAAAAUAAUUUGAAAAAAAUGAUUUUUAGAUACGUGGGACCAUAUACA